This 376-nucleotide ribosomal RNA is filed under the name uncultured bacterium. RNAcentral describes it as "bacterial SSU rRNA". It matches the Rfam family "Bacterial small subunit ribosomal RNA", at positions 524 to 898 of the family's 1533-position model. The record is from RNAcentral.
UACAGAGGUGGCGAGCGUUGUUCGGAUUUACUGGGCGUAAAGGGCGCGUAGGCGGCCCCGUGUGUCGCGUGUGAAAUCCCCGGGCUCAACCCGGGAAGUGCGCGCGAAACUGCGGGGCUCGAGCGGAGGAGGGGAGAGCGGAAUUCAUGGUGUAGCGGUGAAAUGCGUUGAUAUCAUGAGGAACACCGGUGGCGAAGGCGGCUCUCUGGAAUCCUGCUGACGCUGAGGCGCGAAAGCCGGGGGAGCAAACAGGAUUAGAUACCCUGGUAGUCCCGGCCCUAAACGGUGCACACUGGGCGUGGGGGGUAUUCACCCCCCCCGUGCCGGAGCUAACGUGUUAAGUGUGCCGCCUGGGGAGUACGGCCGCAAGGCUAAA